GUCAGGGUGGCUGGGGAGGCUCAGCCAGGGUGGCUGAGGUGGAAUAUAUGUUACAGUAAUUACGAAAAAUUUUUACAUGGUAUGGUUAACGUAAGGAGGUGUUAUACGAUCAUGUGAGUGGAUAGGAACAACAUGGGGCCAUUAGUCCUCAUGGAGGGACCGAGGGACAGGAGCGGUAGAUCUAUCUGGGUGUUUGAGUCUCCCUAUUUGCACUUCACAUAUGUCAGUGGCCUUGCAAACCAUUGGUGAUCACAAGUCCCCUUACACUGCUACAUACCAGGGAUUUUAUACUUACGGAAACUUUUAGUUCAUACAAAUUAACUACCAUGUUUUAUACAAAUCCAAAGAAUUAUGGGGGUAUAGAGUCAAGGUCAGGGUGGGCAUUGACG
RNAcentral lists this long non-coding RNA (389 nucleotides) under Helianthus annuus (common sunflower). RNAcentral describes it as "sRNA HanXRQr2_Chr13g0589421". The record is from RNAcentral. Lineage: Eukaryota; Viridiplantae; Streptophyta; Magnoliopsida; Asterales; Asteraceae.